GCGCCCGUAGCUCAACGGAUAGAGCAUCUGACUACGGAUCAGAAGGUUGGGGUUUCGAAUACCUCCGGGCGCGCCA
RNAcentral lists this transfer RNA (76 nucleotides) under Nocardioides sp. RNAcentral describes it as "tRNA-Arg". It matches the Rfam family "tRNA". From Rfam's summary of the family: Transfer RNA (tRNA) molecules are approximately 80 nucleotides in length. Their secondary structure includes four short double-helical elements and three loops (D, anti-codon, and T loops). Further hydrogen bonds mediate the characteristic L-shaped molecular structure. tRNAs have two regions of fundamental functional importance: the anti-codon, which is responsible for specific mRNA codon recognition, and the 3' end, to which the tRNAs corresponding amino acid is attached (by aminoacyl-tRNA synthetases). tRNAs cope with the degeneracy of the genetic code in two manners: having more than one tRNA (with a specific anti-codon) for a particular amino acid; and 'wobble' base-pairing, i.e. permitting non-standard base-pairing at the 3rd anti-codon position. RNAcentral also lists the same sequence under 6 other names. The record is from RNAcentral. Lineage: Bacteria; Bacillati; Actinomycetota; Actinomycetes; Propionibacteriales; Nocardioidaceae.